AACGCUAGCUACAGGCUUAACACAUGCAAGUCGAGGGGCAGCAUGAACAAAGCUUGCUUUGUUCGAUGGCGACCGGCGCACGGGUGAGUAACGCGUAUCCGACCUGCCCAUGACUCGGGCACAGCCGCUCGAAAGAGCGAUUGAUUCCCGAUACGUCGUAUGAGUAGAUCAUAUGAUGAAAGAUUCAUCGGUCAUGGAUGGGGAUGCGUAGGAUUAGGUAGUAGGCGGGGUAACGGCCCACCUAGCCGACGAUCCUUAGGGGUUCUGAGAGGAAGGUCCCCCACACUGGUACUGAGACACGGACCAGACUCCUACGGGAGGCAGCAGUGAGGAAUAUUGGUCAAUGGGCGGAAGCCUGAACCAGCCAAGUAGCGUGAAGGAUUACUGCCCUACGGGUUUUAAACUUCUUUUAUGCGAGAGUAAUUUGCGCCACGUGUGGUGUAUUGCAAGUAUCGCAUGAAUAAGCAUCGGCUAACUCCGUGCCAGCAGCCGCGGUAAUACGGAGGAUGCGAGCGUUAUCCGGAUUUAUUGGGUUUAAAGGGAGCGUAGGCGGGAUAUUAAGUCAGUCGUCAAAGCCUGUGGCUCAACCACAGCCCGCGAUUGAUACUGGUGACCUUGAGUGCGGAUGAGGUGGAUGGAAUUCGUGGUGUAGCGGUGAAAUGCUUAGAUAUCACGAAGAACUCCGAUUGCGAAGGCAGCGUACCAAUCCGUAACUGACGUUGAUGCUCGAAAGUGUGGGUAUCAAACAGGAUUAGAUACCCUGGUAGUCCACACGGUAAACGAUGGAUACUCGCUGUUGGCGAUACAAUGUCAGCGGCCAAGUGAAAACGUUAAGUAUCCCACCUGGGGAGUACGCCGGCAACGGUGAAACUCAAAGGAAUUGACGGGGGCCCGCACAAGCGGAGGAACAUGUGGUUUAAUUCGAUGAUACGCGAGGAGCCUUACCCGGGCUUAAAUUGCAGAGGAUAGUCUCAGAGAUGGGAUCUUCUUCGGACCUCUGUGAAGGUGCUGCAUGGUUGUCGUCAGCUCGUGCCGUGAGGUGUCGGCUUAAGUGC
Molecule: ribosomal RNA, 1055 nt
Filed under: uncultured Bacteroidales bacterium
Lineage: Bacteria; Pseudomonadati; Bacteroidota; Bacteroidia; Bacteroidales
Description: bacterial SSU rRNA
Rfam family: Bacterial small subunit ribosomal RNA
Source: RNAcentral